Molecule: transfer RNA, 73 nt
Filed under: Tinamus major (great tinamou)
Lineage: Eukaryota; Metazoa; Chordata; Aves; Tinamiformes; Tinamidae
Description: tRNA-Ser
Rfam family: tRNA
About the family: Transfer RNA (tRNA) molecules are approximately 80 nucleotides in length.
Source: RNAcentral
AAGAAAGAAGCAUAAGUGGUUAGUGCGGUUGGCUUGAAACCAACAUGAGGAGGUUCGAUUCCUUCCUUUCUUG